AAAGUGGAAGAGGCAUAUAGGCAUGAGAGAGAUACUAAAGAAAGAGUUGAAGAAGUGAUUCUGUCAAGUUCACUGUGCCUUCCGUUAUCAGGCUGUUGGAAGAUCUUUGAGUGUGGUAAGCAAUGUUGUACAAAUCAGCGGAGAAGAUUUCUUAUCGAGCCACUUUCAUACGGAUGGUUCCAAUUUCUGGAAACUCUUGUCCGCUUCACCAUUCCAUAUAUAGAAAGUUGUCCAAUGUAAAAGAAGAAAGAAUCCCUCUACCAACUUCCCUACAGAUGCAUUAAUUCCAGUUCUUCAGAGGACUCAGUGGCUGAAACUCCCAAACUCUGAAAGUCCAAGUAGCAGUGCUCAAUAUGAUUGCGGAUUUGUCCCGGAACAAAAGGAAGUGCUUCGGCGUUGGAAGUUGUUCUAAAGAAGGUCAGCGGUCUUGUGGUGGGGAUUGCUUGUAGUGGGGUUGUGGGGCUUCGAGAUGCAUCCAUCAAUGCUCUUCAUGGGCUUGCUUGUAUCGACCCGGAUCUUGUUUGGCUUCUUGUCGAUGAUGAUUAUUAUUACUCUGUGAUGAAGAAAGACAAACCUUGAUCACCCACCUCAGAUGUACCGGAGAUAAGUGAGAUUCUACCCCCACCGUUGUCUCCGAAAGAAUACCUUUAUGUGCAAUAUGGAGGGAAGAGUUAUGGUUUUGAUGUUUUCUUCUCUUCUGUAGAAACUGUUUUCAAGAAACUGAUGCAUUUCCCCGAAUUUUCUUACCAAUAGAAGUAAAAAUUAGAAACCGAACACAUGCCACUAAAUUUUUUGUGGACGAUAAUCAGAAUUCUAUAUCCCAACAUAAAAAGAAAGUUGAGUUAUUGGCUCUUAUUGGUUUUGGUUCUGGAUUUUUGAAGGAAAUGAAUAUGGAGAAAAUCAGGAUCACAGCCAAAAAUCGAUACUUCAUUUUGCUCAACAUCUUUGAAGAGUAGAGAUUAUAGUGACAAAAUAAAGAGGGAAACAUAUUUCCAUUAGAACAAUCAGUUAGCAAUGAAAAGACGAAACUGCCUUUUUCUACUAUAGUUUGGGACCUGACAGCUGGGGUAAAAGAGUAUUUUAAGUUGGGGAAUUGGGGUCGGUCACGCAAAUGUUGUAAUCUCAAGAUGGUGUUUUGUAAAUCAAAUAAGUGAACAGAGAAAAGCAGACAAUUUUUUUUUUUUUUUUUUUUUUUUUUUGGGUGGGUUAGAAAAGGAGAGAAUUUGUUUUAGGGUAUUCACACCCAUAAAAUACCUGAAAGUUAAAUUGUUUGGGUUCAGUCUCAAAUGGGGAGCGAUAGAAAAUCCAAGAAGAAGAAUGGGAAGCGAAGAAGAUGAUAAUAGAAACAAGAGGCAGAGAAGGGUAGAAGGCGCGACUAGGAAACACAGGAGUGGUAAGAAAGACAAGUCAAGGGACAAGGAAAGCUGCAUAGGCACUCCAAACGCCAUUCCCUUAACGGUGUGAGCUUCUAGAUGCGAAAAUUCUUAUAAUAUUGGCUUGUUGUUUUGUCUCAGAGAAGAAAUCAAAGGAUAAGCAGAAAGAUAAACAUGACAAAGGUAAUCGCCUCUUGGUAAUUUUCUUAUCUAAAUUAUGCCUAUAUGACUUAUCCUUCUUUUCUUAGUGGCACUUCUUUCUAGGGGUCAUAGAUCACCUUCUUGGGACUAUGUUGAAGAGUUCUUUCUCUCCCUUCGAGUUCUCUGGGGUAAGGUUCUCUUGAAUGGAUUACUGGUUCCUUCUUUCCCAAUCAAUGCUAACACCCUUAGGCAAGUUAAGAGAGAAUGCUUAGUAAUAGGACAGUAGGAGUCUGGUAGACAGGCCAAUAGCAUGGAUGCCAAGGAUAGUUGUCCAACCUCUUUUCCCUCCAGGGGUAAUUACAGAAGAGCAAGUUCCCCUGACGGGGAUGUUAAGGUACUUUUUCACGAGGUACUUUAUCUAGAGAUAUUCAACAAGGGGCAUGCCACAAAAAAAGCUAAAGCUCAUUUGUGGUUAACAUUUUGAUAUGAUUAUUCGUCAAGUUGGCUCACAACCUUAGGAUUUUUUGUUUCUGUUUCAAUCUUUGCUCAGGUUUUAGUAGAAAACUGAAGGUUUUGGUGGUGGUGGUGGUGGUGUUUGAAUUUGUUGGGUUUUGAUGGAUGGUGUUUUUCAUUAUUCUUUUAGAAAUACAACUUCCUAGAGCUGUCCAACGAUGACUAUUUCUUAAAGAACAAUGAAUUUUCUACAUGGCUGAAGGAAGAAAAAGAUGUGUUUUUUUUCUGACUUAUCAUUAGAGUCUGCCCGAGAAAUGUUUUCACGCUAUAUCAAGGCUUGGAACAACCAAACACUUGAAUCCCAGUAUUAUGAAGGCAUUGUAAACAGACCCAGGAGUGCUCGUAAGUGGAAAAUCAAAGCAUGAAAGGCUGCAGCCUGUAACCACUUUUGUUUUGCUUAUGUUUUUGUAUUUAGUGUCUUUUUGGUCUAUUUAGUGUUACUUUUGUUCUAAUUAGUGUACUAUCUUUUGUUAUCUUCAAUUCGUUAGAGAAAAUCAAAAUCUCAAACAAUGAAAGAUACUUAUAGAAUCUCGUAACAUGAACGAGUAUAUUCAAUUAGUGGCUGACACAGAAUCGGUACUUUACAACAUAGUAUAAACUUCUAUGAGCUUCCAAAAUGGUAACAUGAUAAGAUCCAGGCAAGGGAAAGUUGGCAACUUCUAAAUCAGCUUCACCUUCAUAGCACAAGGUGAAGGGGAGAAAUUGAUGCAGUGGUUCUUCUAGAGAAAAGAAGCAGUUAUACAUAAUGGAGGAUAGAGAUGCAUCGUGUAUCUGCAAGAAAUCAAGUUUUCAUUUUGAGCAAGUGUAAGCAAAAAUUUUCCCUGAAUAUAAUCAAAUAAAUGCUUUUGAUUCUACUUACUUUUCACAUUCAGACAUUUUGGAGCCAUAUACCGUUUCCAUCUUCACAUAAAAGGUUUCCAAUUUGCAAAUGCUUUUGAUUUCUGCCUGUGACUCCCGGGAGAGGUGAGAAUUUCUUCCACAGUAGCUCCAUUUCUGAAUUGUUGGUACUCAAUGGAGUUCCUACGUACCGCAAUAGACAAGGUCACUGGAUGUGCUGAUCUAAAUGGAUGUAUGGUAUUCACUUUUAUCUUUUCAAAUUAUUGGAUUUUAUUUUAGUUUCUAGGAUCCAAGUGCUUCUGUACUAGGCAUCGUUGUACCAAGAUUAUAUAAACUAAUUUAACCUUUUAUCCAAAAAGAGCAUGUUUUGAAGAAAAUUUUCAGAUGUAAUGAAGCUUUUGUACUUAUCUUCUACGAC
Molecule: RNA transcript, 3282 nt
Organism: Ziziphus jujuba (common jujube)
Lineage: Eukaryota; Viridiplantae; Streptophyta; Magnoliopsida; Rosales; Rhamnaceae
Gene name: style cell-cycle inhibitor 1-B-like
Exons: 4
Source: RefSeq, a predicted model, not a curated record